This 715-nucleotide ribosomal RNA is filed under the name uncultured bacterium. RNAcentral describes it as "bacterial SSU rRNA". It matches the Rfam family "Bacterial small subunit ribosomal RNA", at positions 8 to 710 of the family's 1533-position model. The record is from RNAcentral.
AGAGUUUGAUCAUGGCUCAUAAUGAACGCUGGCGGCAGGCCUAACACAUGCAAGUCGAACGAUAACAGAAAGAAGCUUGCUUCUUUGCUGACGAGUGGCGGACGGGUGAGUAACGCGUGGGAAUCUACCCUUUAGUUGGGGACAACAUAUGGAAACGUAUGCCAAUACCGAAUAUGCUCUACGGAGUAAAGGUGCCCUCUCCUUGGAAGGUAUCGCUAAAGGAUGAGCCCGCGUUAGAUUAGCUAGUUGGUAAGGUAAAAGCUUACCAAGGCGACGAUCUAUAGCUGGUUUGAGAGGAUGAUCAGCCACACUGGGACUGAGACACGGCCCAGACUCCUACGGGAGGCAGCAGUGGGGAAUAUUGCACAAUGGAGGAAACUCUGAUGCAGCCACGCCGCGUGUGUGAAGUAGGCCCGAGGGUUGUAAAGCACUUUCAAUUGUGAGGAAGAUAAUGUAGUUAAUACCUGCAUUGUUUGACGUUAACUUUAGAAGAAGCACCGGCUAACUCUGUGCCAGCAGCCGCGGUAAUACAGAGGGUGCAAGCGUUAUUCGGAAUUACUGGGCGUAAAGCGCGCGUAGGCGGACUGUUAAGUUGGAUGUGAAAGCCCUGGGCUCAACCUAGGAACUGCAUUCAAAACUGGCAAUCUAGAGUUUAAGAGAGGGAAGGGGAAUUCCAGGUGUAGCAGUGAAAUGCGUAGAUAUCUGGAGGAACAUC